AGAGUUUGAUCCUGGCUCAGGAUGAACGCUGGCGGCGAGCUUAACACAUGCAAGUCGAACGAUCCUUCGGGAUAGUGGCGGACGGGUGAGUAACGCGUGGGAAUCUGCCCUCAGGAGGGGGAUAACGGCUGGAAACGGCCGCUAAUACCCCAUAUGCCGAGAGGUGAAAUGAAUUUCGCCUGAGGAUGAGCCCGCGUCUGAUUAGCUAGUUGGUGGGGUAAAGGCCUACCAAGGCAACGAUCAGUAGCUGGUCUGAGAGGAUGAUCAGCCACACUGGGACUGAGACACGGCCCAGACUCCUACGGGAGGCAGCAGUGGGGAAUUUUCCGCAAUGGGCGAAAGCCUGACGGAGCAACGCCGCGUGAGGGAUGAAGGCCUCUGGGCUGUAAACCUCUUUUCUCAAGGAAGAAGACCUGACGGUACUUGAGGAAUAAGCCACGGCUAAUUCCGUGCCAGCAGCCGCGGUAAUACGGGAGUGGCAAGCGUUAUCCGGAAUUAUUGGGCGUAAAGCGUCCGCAGGCGGCCUUGUAAGUCUGUUGUUAAAGCGUGGAGCUCAACUCCAUUUAAGCAAUGGAAACUACAAGGCUGGAGUGUGGUAGGGGCAGAGGGAAUUCCCGGUGUAGCGGUGAAAUGCGUAGAUAUCGGGAAGAACACCAGUGGCGAAGGCGCUCUGCUGGGCCAUAACUGACGCUCAUGGACGAAAGCCAGGGGAGCGAAAGGGAUUAGAUACCCCUGUAGUCCUGGCCGUAAACGAUGAACACUAGGUGUCGGGGGAAUCGACCCCCUCGGUGUCGUAGCCAACGCGUUAAGUGUUCCGCCUGGGGAGUACGCACGCAAGUGUGAAACUCAAAGGAAUUGACGGGGGCCCGCACAAGCGGUGGAGUAUGUGGUUUAAUUCGAUGCAACGCGAAGAACCUUACCAGGGUUUGACAUCCUGCGAACCCCUGAGAAAUCGGGGGGUGCCUUCGGGAGCGCAGAGACAGGUGGUGCAUGGCUGUCGUCAGCUCGUGUCGUGAGAUGUUGGGUUAAGUCCCGCAGCGAGCGCAACCCACGUCUUUAGUUGCCAGCAUUCAGUUGGGCACUCUAGAGAGACCGCCGGUGAUAAACCGGAGGAAGGUGUGGAUGACGUCAAGUCAUCAUGCCCCUUACAUCCUGGGCUACACACGUACUACAAUGCUACGGACAAAGGGCAGCAAGCUCGCGAGAGUUAGCAAAUCCCAUAAACCGUGGCUCAGUUCAGAUCGUAGGCUGCAACUCGCCUACGUGAAGGAGGAAUCGCUAGUAAUCGCAGGUCAGCAUACUGCGGUGAAUACGUUCCCGGGCCUUGUACACACCGCCCGUCACACCAUGGAAGUUGGCCAUGCCCGAAGUCGUUACUCCAACCCUUGUGGAGGAGGACGCCGAAGGUGGGGCUGAUGACUGGGGUGAAGUCGUAACAAGGUA
RNAcentral lists this ribosomal RNA (1443 nucleotides) under metagenome. RNAcentral's name for it is "bacterial SSU rRNA". It matches the Rfam family "Bacterial small subunit ribosomal RNA". The record is from RNAcentral.